UAGGGAAUCUUCGUCAAUGGGGGGAACCCUGACCGAGCAACGCCGCGUGAGUGAAGAAGGUUUUCGGAUCGUAAAGCUCUGUUGUUAAGGAAGAACGAGUGUGAGAAUGGAAAGUUCAUACUGUGACGGUACUUAACCAGAAAGGGACGGCUAACUACGUGCCAGCAGCCGCGGUAAUACGUAGGUCCCGAGCGUUGUCCGGAUUUAUUGGGCGUAAAGCGAGCGCAGGCGGUUAGAAAAGUCUGAAGUGAAAGGCAGUGGCUCAACCAUUGUAGGCUUUGGAAACUGUUUAACUUGAGUGCAGAAGGGGAGAGUGGAAUUCCAUGUGUAGCGGUGAAAUGCGUAGAUAUAUGGAGGAACACCGGUGGCGAAAGCGGCUCUCUGGUCUGUAACUGACGCUGAGGCUCGAAAGCGUGGGGAGCGAACAGG
Molecule: ribosomal RNA, 429 nt
Filed under: Bacteroidota bacterium
Lineage: Bacteria; Pseudomonadati; Bacteroidota
Description: Bacteroidetes bacterium partial 16S ribosomal RNA
Rfam family: Bacterial small subunit ribosomal RNA
Source: RNAcentral